AAAUUGAAGAGUUUGAUCAUGGCUCAGAUUGAACGCUGGCGGCAGGCCUAACACAUGCAAGUCGAACGGUAACAGGAAGCAGCUUGCUGCUUUGCUGACGAGUGGCGGACGGGUGAGUAAUGUCUGGGAAACUGCCUGAUGGAGGGGGAUAACUACUGGAAACGGUAGCUAAUACCGCAUAACAUCGCAAGACCAAAGAGGGGGACCUUCGGGCCUCUUGCCAUCGGAUGUGCCCAGAUGGGAUUAGCUAGUAGGUGGGGUAA
RNAcentral lists this ribosomal RNA (263 nucleotides) under Escherichia coli. Its description in RNAcentral is "partial 16S ribosomal RNA". It matches the Rfam family "Bacterial small subunit ribosomal RNA", at positions 1 to 260 of the family's 1533-position model. Lineage: Bacteria; Pseudomonadati; Pseudomonadota; Gammaproteobacteria; Enterobacterales; Enterobacteriaceae. The record is from RNAcentral.